AUGAACGCUGGCGGCGUGGAUAAGGCAUGCAAGUCGAACGGUUUUUCCUUUCAAGAAAGUUGCGAUUACAUCAAGACCGACGAGAUUGGAAAAAUAGUGGCGAACGAGUUAGUAACACCUUGGUACGUACCCUUUGGUUUGGUAUAGCUCGCCGAAAGGCGGGGUAAUCCCAGAUAGUCUCGCAAGAGUAAAGCAGCAAUGCGCCAUUGGAGCGGCCUAGGCUCGAUCAGCUAGUUGGUGUGGUAAAGGCUCACCAAGGCUAUGACCGAUAGGGGCGCUGAGAGGCGGACCCCCAACGACGGCACUGAGACACGGGCCGUACACCUACGGGUGGCAGCAGCCGAGAAUAUUCGUCAAUGGGCGAAAGCCUGAACGAGCGACGCCGCGUGCAGGAAGAAGGUCUUCGGAUCGUAAACUGCUUUUCUACGGGAAGAAUUUUGACGGUACCGUAGGAAUAAGGAGCUGCAAACUACGU
This 475-nucleotide ribosomal RNA is filed under the name uncultured bacterium. RNAcentral describes it as "bacterial SSU rRNA". It matches the Rfam family "Bacterial small subunit ribosomal RNA", at positions 29 to 506 of the family's 1533-position model. The record is from RNAcentral.